This 468-nucleotide ribosomal RNA is filed under the name uncultured bacterium. RNAcentral's name for it is "partial 16S ribosomal RNA". It matches the Rfam family "Bacterial small subunit ribosomal RNA", at positions 28 to 507 of the family's 1533-position model. The record is from RNAcentral.
GACGAACGCUGGCGGCGUGCUUAACACAUGCAAGUCGAACGGAAAGGCCCUGCUUUUGUGGGGUGCUCGAGUGGCGAACGGGUGAGUAACACGUGAGUAACCUGCCCUUGACUUUGGGAUAACUUCAGGAAACUGGGGCUAAUACCGGAUAGGAGCUCCUGCUGCAUGGUGGGGGUUGGAAAGUUUCGGCGGUUGGGGAUGGACUCGCGGCUUAUCAGCUUGUUGGUGGGGUAGUGGCUUACCAAGGCUUUGACGGGUAGCCGGCCUGAGAGGGUGACCGGCGACAUUGGGACUGAGAUACGGCCCAGACUCCUACGGGAGGCAGCGGUGGGGAAUAUUGCACAAUGGGCGGAAGCCUGAUGCAGCAACGCCGCGUGCGGGAUGACGGCCUUCGGGUUGUAAACCGCUUUCGCCUGUGACGAAGCGUGAGUGACGGUAAUGGGUAAAGAAGCACCGGCUAACUACGUG